Chinchilla lanigera (long-tailed chinchilla) is the source of this 248-nucleotide long non-coding RNA. RefSeq lists it as uncharacterized. The transcript has 3 exons. NCBI's taxonomy places the organism in Eukaryota, Metazoa, Chordata, Mammalia, Rodentia, Chinchillidae. The record is from RefSeq and is a predicted model, not a curated record.
GCCAAGGCAGAGUUCUCAGGUCUUUGUUCAGGCUUUGGUGGCAGCAGCUUCAGAAUUCAGGAAGGAGUGAGCAGUCUUGACAUGAAGUCUCUCUCAAGAUUGCCUUCAGGCAAUAUGAAAAGUUGAGACAGGAGUGUCUGGAACAUCUGUAAUUUCACCAGAACUCCUUUGAAAGCCACAGGAGGGUCAAGUACAGCAGAGAUACAAGAGCAUGCAGUAAGAAGAAAAUUUCCUGCAUUCAUUUUCAU